This is a non-coding RNA of Triticum aestivum (bread wheat), 115 nucleotides long. NCBI's taxonomy places the organism in Eukaryota, Viridiplantae, Streptophyta, Magnoliopsida, Poales, Poaceae. The record is from Rfam.
AUUGUACUCCUUCCGUUCGGAAUUACUUGUCGCACAAAUGGAUGUAUCUAGACGUAUUUUAGUUUUAGAUACAUCCAUUUUCAAAAUAAGUAAUUUCGAACGAAGGGAGUAUGUA